Molecule: long non-coding RNA, 1412 nt
Organism: Esox lucius (northern pike)
Lineage: Eukaryota; Metazoa; Chordata; Actinopteri; Esociformes; Esocidae
Exons: 3
Source: RefSeq, a predicted model, not a curated record
UGCUAGUCCCUGCCAAUCAGCCUCCACACCUGUCCUCAAUCAACACUGCCAAAGGACAAUGUACUGGAGAAUGAUGGUGCUAACGUCCACAGUUGUCCUGUCCAAGCCAUCUCACAUCUGGACAUGCACACCUGUUCCUGAUUCGAUUCAGCCUACCAGGUGGCAGUGGUCAGUGAUGUUCUUUGCUGCACGCUUCACUGCUGGAGAGUCGUAUAAGACCAGCAUGGAGAUGCCGCAAGUCGUGCUUUCCUGGUGAUCGCUGUGUCCCCCCACCUGAGAUCGUGGGAGAUGAUUUCCCCUAGGAAUCAGAGUUAUUCCACCAAACUAACAACCGGUCCUUCAGGGGCAAAAAGGGUGCUUUCUUCUGUCCUCUUGGUUCCAUUCUUCAUCAUAUUAGUUGAGCGGAGAGACACUGAAAGAUCAUUCAUGAAAUGGUGGCUUGUUGUUUAUUCUGGAUACAGCACAUCUAUUUUAUCAGACUUUGCAAAUCCUUUUUUCUUCUUUGCUCUUUUUUGCCCCCCUUUUCCCUAUUCCUCUACUUCUGCCAUCAUUUAAAUUUUCUCCCCUCUCUACAUACCACCCCCUCACACGCAUUCCAUUACUCUCCUAGUUUCAUUGAUUUGCUCUCCAUGGUAAAGUGCUAUUGAUUGGAGUACAUGCUCUGCUGCUACCGAGGCCUGACACGAGUGCUGCAAACUCAAGACUCUUUUCAUCACUAUUCUCCCUCAAUCCACUGCUCUCUCUUCCCCGCUCUUUCAGUUUCUCCCAAAUCUAACUGUUUAUAUCAAUUUCUAAUCCAUUUCUCCGUUUAUCCCAAUUUCCAAUGUUUUAUUUUCUGCUGCACUAUAAGAGUUCAACACUUCAGAUAUAAUGUACAUGAUAUACCUAUUCCGUGCAGAAUGGAAGUGCAGAUACAUGCAAUAUAUGAUGAAAUCCAUCAGGAUCGUAGACAGAUCACACACAGUUACAACAAGCAGCUGUAAUUGUUUUGGGAUUUUCAUCAUUUAUAAUUUGGAAUUAGGAUUGGACAAAUGCAAGGCUGGACCAUGUGCAGAUCAAUUUCCACUAGAAUAUACAACAUAAAAAGGAAAAUUAUAUAUUUUGUAAAAUUCUGGAAAACUAAAUCUACAUUUUGGUCUUUCACACAGGUGGGUAACUGAAUGGAGGGGCUUUGUUGAGAAUUUCCUUUUGAAGGAAAGGGGACUUUGCUAGCUUCCUUUGCUCUAUGGUAAUAAAAACUGUUACCCACCGAGAAAUAAAACAUGAAAUGGCAAACAUUCAUGACAUAAUCUUUUACUUCUGUGGCCCCAGGUGGAACAGAUGUCUGGUGACUCCUUCAGGCAGGACAUGCUUGAUUUCCUGUAUAACUUUACUCCCCCCUUAUCUUUUACAUUGAUGGCUAGCAAUGUAAG